UUCGAUAUGGAUGAAGUACCUAGCCUUGUUUCAUUGUUUCACUUUGUGAUGAAUUUAGCUAAUGGAUAAUUGUAAGUCAUUAAGCAUAUAUUUUGUAUUGAUUUAAAUGAUCAUAAUAUAUAUGCAAUUGUGUUUAAUGAAUUGAUGUGUAAAUGAAAAUGUAUGUGUAUGGAAUGAUGCCAUUGUUGAAUGUAUAAAGGCAGCAAAAUGCAUAAGGUAUUGGUCACGGCACUAAGUGUGCGGGUAUAAAUGGAGACGGUGACAAGAUUGGCACUAAGUGUGCGGGUAUAAAAUUGUACAGCACUAAGUGUGCGAGUUUGAUUCUAUAGCACUAAGUGUGCGAGCUGAAAAUAUAUAGCACUAAGUGUGCGGAUUCACUAUAUGCUCUUGUAUUACAAUUGGCACUGAGUGUGCGACAUUAUCGAGUUAAUCCCGGACAGCGAAUCGGGUCUCGUGGACUCGUAUUGUUGCGUGCUCGGAACCGUCGUUGAAGUCAUCACACCGGCUGAAAUAUUUUGGUAUUGUCUUCGUUGUUGAAGAACAUUUGGCAUGUAUAGGCUAUUAUAUUUUGUUGAACUGUGGGUUGUAAACUUUAAGCCAUGUGAAAAUGGCCUAUGUGGUCGUCGAGUGGGAUGCUAGAACCUAUAGCCACGAGUCUUAGAAACUUUAAUUUUGAUAAGGUGGCCAUAAUUUGUGUCA
Gossypium arboreum is the source of this 699-nucleotide long non-coding RNA. RefSeq lists it as uncharacterized. The record is from RefSeq and is a predicted model, not a curated record. NCBI's taxonomy places the organism in Eukaryota, Viridiplantae, Streptophyta, Magnoliopsida, Malvales, Malvaceae. The transcript has 3 exons.